Molecule: ribosomal RNA, 519 nt
Filed under: uncultured bacterium
Lineage: Bacteria
Description: partial 16S ribosomal RNA
Rfam family: Bacterial small subunit ribosomal RNA
Source: RNAcentral
GACGAACGCUGGCGGCGUGCCUAAUACAUGCAAGUCGAGCGAGUCUGCCUUGAAGAUCGGAGUGCUUGCACUCUGUGAAACAAGAUACAGGCUAGCGGCGGACGGGUGAGUAACACGUGGGUAACCUGCCCAAGAGAUCGGGAUAACACCUGGAAACAGAUGCUAAUACCGGAUAACAACAGAUGAUGCCUAUCAACUGUUUAAAAGAUGGUUCUGCUAUCACUCUUGGAUGGACCUGCGGUGCAUUAGCUAGUUGGUAGGGUAACGGCCUACCAAGGCGAAUGAUGCAUACCGGAGUGGGGGGCUGGACCGGCCCCAUGGGAAUUGAGAAACGGCCAAACUCCUUAGGGGAGGAACAAGAAGGGAACUUCCACAAUGGGAGGCAAUCUUAUUGGAGAAACGCGGGGGGAGGGAAGAAGGGUUCCGGUCGGUAAAGUCUGUUGGUGGGUGAAGAAGGCAGGGGUAGUAACUGACCUUUGUUUGACGGUAAUCAAUGAGAAAGUCACGGCUAACUACGUG